GCCGGGCAUGGUGGCUCAUGCCUGUAAUCCCAGCACUUCGGGAGGCCAAGGUGGGUGGAUCACCUGAGGUCAGGAGUUCAAGACCAGCCUGACCAAUAUGGUGAAAUCCCAUCUCUA
Molecule: unclassified non-coding RNA, 117 nt
Organism: Pongo abelii (Sumatran orangutan)
Lineage: Eukaryota; Metazoa; Chordata; Mammalia; Primates; Hominidae
Rfam family: Metazoan signal recognition particle RNA
About the family: The signal recognition particle (SRP) is a universally conserved ribonucleoprotein. It is involved in the co-translational targeting of proteins to membranes.
Source: Ensembl